UACAGAGGUCCCAAGCGUUGUUCGGAUUCACUGGGCGUAAAGGGUGCGUAGGCGGUCGGGUAAGUCUGAUGUGAAAUCUCACGGCUUAACUGUGAAACUGCAUUGGAUACUAUCCGGCUAGAGGAAUGGAGGGGAGACUGGAAUACUUGGUGUAGCAGUGAAAUGCGUAGAUAUCAAGUGGAACACCAGUGGCGAAGGCGAGUCUCUGGACAUUUCCUGACGCUGAGGCACGAAAGCCAGGGGAGCGAACGGA
This 253-nucleotide ribosomal RNA is filed under the name uncultured bacterium. RNAcentral describes it as "partial 16S ribosomal RNA". It matches the Rfam family "Bacterial small subunit ribosomal RNA", at positions 524 to 776 of the family's 1533-position model. The record is from RNAcentral.